CCCUUAGAUGUCCUGGGCCGCACGCGCGUUACACUGAUGCAUUCAACGAGCUUAUAACCUUGGCCGAGAGGCCUGGGCAAUCUUGUUAACGUGCAUCGUGAUAGGGAUAGAUUAUUGAAAUUAUUAAUCUUGAACGAGGAAUUCCUAGUAAACGCAGAUCAUCAAUCUGCAUUGAUUACGUCCCCGCCCUUUGUACACACCGCCCGUCGCACCUACCGAUUGGAUGGUCCAGUGAAGCCUCGGGAUUGUGGUUCUUGCCGCUUUAUUGUGGCGUGACCGCGAGAACUUGUCUAAACCUUAUCAUCUAGAGGAAGGUGGAGUCGUAACA
RNAcentral lists this ribosomal RNA (328 nucleotides) under uncultured eukaryote. RNAcentral describes it as "partial 18S ribosomal RNA". It matches the Rfam family "Eukaryotic small subunit ribosomal RNA", at positions 1470 to 1796 of the family's 1831-position model. The record is from RNAcentral.